RNAcentral lists this transfer RNA (72 nucleotides) under Pinus yunnanensis. RNAcentral's name for it is "tRNA-Lys". It matches the Rfam family "tRNA". Rfam says of the family: Transfer RNA (tRNA) molecules are approximately 80 nucleotides in length. Their secondary structure includes four short double-helical elements and three loops (D, anti-codon, and T loops). Lineage: Eukaryota; Viridiplantae; Streptophyta; Pinopsida; Pinales; Pinaceae. The record is from RNAcentral.
GGGUUGCUAACUCAAUGGUAGAGUACUCNNNUUUUAACCGACGAGCUCCGGGUUCGAGUCCCGGGCAACCCG